Molecule: regulatory RNA element, 122 nt
Organism: Sedimenticola thiotaurini
Lineage: Bacteria; Pseudomonadati; Pseudomonadota; Gammaproteobacteria; Chromatiales; Sedimenticolaceae
Rfam family: RtT RNA
About the family: This family represents a bacterial cis-regulatory element known as RtT RNA. The exact function of RtT is unknown although it is thought that it may be involved in changing the cellular response in relation to amino acid starvation.
Source: Rfam
GAAAAAGGUGCUGUAUGGAGGGUGAGAAGCUCCACCGAGGUUCGGCGCGCAGCGCCACGAGGAGCAUAGCGACGAGCCCGGAGGGUGAGGCCGCAGGCCGAAUAAUCCUCCAUCCCCAGACU